GCCUGGCAGUCGAGCAGUCGAGGCUAGGCAAGUUCUGAGGAAAUGCAGUCCCUCCCCUUUCCUCUUUUUCCACCCCCUAGCUAUAUACAGCUCUAGAUGCAGACCUAGACCUCUGCAAAACAAUAAAGCGGAAGAAAUUUGGGUCUGCCCAUGUGCUCUAACUGCACUGCGUCCUCCCCUCAUCUCCUUUCUGAUCUUUAUGUUUUUCUGUCUCUCUUUGUUUCCCCCGUCAACACAUACACGCAGUGCGAAAGAUACCAGCCACAGCAUCUUAAGACUUAAAGGUUAUCCAACCCCAUCCUCCCACUGCUGCUUCAACAAUGUGCUUAACGCGUAGUGCUGCAAUCACUGCUUAGCUAUCAGAUAUAUUUUAAAGAACUCAAGAGGAGAAGACAAGGCUAUUAUAUUUACCAAGGCACAUCCCAAUGCCAUCCCUCCUAGCCACUGAUUGGCUAUCCUGAAAAUUCUAAUUCUUUAACACCUCUCAGCUCUGAACACUGACCCAAACUCCAACUGAAUUAGGAAGAAAUAGAAAAUUUGAACAUACUGAUUACUAGUAAUGAAAUUGAAUCAGUAAU
Molecule: long non-coding RNA, 578 nt
Organism: Leopardus geoffroyi (Geoffroy's cat)
Lineage: Eukaryota; Metazoa; Chordata; Mammalia; Carnivora; Felidae
Exons: 3
Source: RefSeq, a predicted model, not a curated record